UGGGGAAUAUUGCACAAUGGGCGCAAGCCUGAUGCAGCCAUGCCGCGUGUAUGAAGAAGGCCUUCGGGUUGUAAAGUACUUUCAGAGGGGAGGAAGGCGAUGUGGUUAAUAACCGCGUCGAUUGACGUUACCCGCAGAAGAAGCACCGGCUAACUCCGUGCCAGCAGCCGCGGUAAUACGGAGGGUGCAAGCGUUAAUCGGAAUUACUGGGCGUAAAGCGCACGCAGGCGGUCUGUCAAGUCGGAUGUGAAAUCCCCGGACUCAACCUGGGAACUGCAUCCGAAACUGGCAGGCUUGAGUCUCGUAGAGGGGGGUAGAAUUCCAGGUGUAGCGGUGAAAUGCGUAGAGAUCUGGAGGAAUACCGGUGGCGAAGGCGGCCCCCUGGACGAAGACUGACGCUCAGGUGCGAAAGCGUGGGGAGCAAACA
Molecule: ribosomal RNA, 427 nt
Filed under: uncultured bacterium
Lineage: Bacteria
Description: partial 16S ribosomal RNA
Rfam family: Bacterial small subunit ribosomal RNA
Source: RNAcentral